AGAAGCUUAGGUUAAUCCAAAACCAUAGGCCUUCAAAGCCUAUAAUAGGGCCCAAAUACUCCCUAGCUUCUG
RNAcentral lists this transfer RNA (72 nucleotides) under Podarcis siculus (Italian wall lizard). Its description in RNAcentral is "tRNA-Trp". It matches the Rfam family "tRNA". Rfam says of the family: Transfer RNA (tRNA) molecules are approximately 80 nucleotides in length. Their secondary structure includes four short double-helical elements and three loops (D, anti-codon, and T loops). The record is from RNAcentral. Lineage: Eukaryota; Metazoa; Chordata; Lepidosauria; Squamata; Lacertidae.